This is a small nucleolar RNA of Rosa rugosa (rugosa rose), 70 nucleotides long. RefSeq annotates it as small nucleolar RNA Z105. The transcript has a single exon. NCBI's taxonomy places the organism in Eukaryota, Viridiplantae, Streptophyta, Magnoliopsida, Rosales, Rosaceae. The record is from RefSeq and is a predicted model, not a curated record.
GCAGCAUAAUGAGGAUUGUAUUUGUCCGACUAAUUCAUGAACGGAUUACAUAACCUCCUACUCAUUCUGA